GGAGAGUCUUACAAUGGUUCUACUGAA
Molecule: non-coding RNA, 27 nt
Filed under: Rattus norvegicus (Norway rat)
Lineage: Eukaryota; Metazoa; Chordata; Mammalia; Rodentia; Muridae
Source: RNAcentral